Molecule: ribosomal RNA, 1226 nt
Filed under: Paraburkholderia strydomiana
Lineage: Bacteria; Pseudomonadati; Pseudomonadota; Betaproteobacteria; Burkholderiales; Burkholderiaceae
Description: partial 23S ribosomal RNA
Rfam family: Bacterial large subunit ribosomal RNA
Source: RNAcentral
UCUUUAUCUUCAUUGUUAGUCGAAGGCUCUGGAAAGUGCCGCCAUAGCAGGUGAUAGCCCUGUAGACGAAAACAGCGAGGAAGAACUAGGUGUACGACAAGUAGGGCGGGACACGUGAAAUCCUGUCUGAAGAUGGGGGGACCAUCCUCCAAGGCUAAAUACUCGUGAUCGACCGAUAGUGAACCAGUACCGUGAGGGAAAGGCGAAAAGAACCCCGGGAGGGGAGUGAAACAGAUCCUGAAACCGCAUGCAUACAAACAGUCGGAGCCUCGCAAGGGGUGACGGCGUACCUUUUGUAUAAUGGGUCAGCGACUUACAUUCAGUGGCAAGCUUAACCGAUUAGGGCAGGCGUAGCGAAAGCGAGUCCGAACAGGGCGUUCAGUCGCUGGGUGUAGACCCGAAACCAGGUGAUCUAUCCAUGGCCAGGAUGAAGGUGCGGUAACACGUACUGGAGGUCCGAACCCACUAACGUUGAAAAGUUAGGGGAUGAGCUGUGGAUAGGGGUGAAAGGCUAAACAAACCUGGAAAUAGCUGGUUCUCUCCGAAAACUAUUUAGGUAGUGCCUCGUGUAUCACCUUCGGGGGUAGAGCACUGUCAUGGUUGUGGGGUCCAUUGCGGAUUACUACGCCAUAGCAAACUCCGAAUACCGAAGAGUGCAAUCACGGGAGACAGACAUCGGGUGCUAACGUCCGGUGUCAAGAGGGAAACAACCCAGACCGCCAGCUAAGGUCCCCAAAUAUGGCUAAGUGGGAAACGAAGUGGGAAGGCUAAAACAGUCAGGAGGUUGGCUUAGAAGCAGCCAUCCUUUAAAGAAAGCGUAAUAGCUCACUGAUCGAGUCGUCCUGCGCGGAAGAUGUAACGGGGCUAAGCCAUAUACCGAAGCUGCGGAUGCACAUUUAUGUGCAUGGUAGGAGAGCGUUCCGUAAGCCUGCGAAGGUGCACUGGAAAGUGUGCUGGAGGUAUCGGAAGUGCGAAUGCUGACAUGAGUAGCGAUAAAGGGGGUGAAAGGCCCCCUCGCCGUAAGCCCAAGGUUUCCUACGCAACGUUCAUCGGCGUAGGGUGAGUCGGCCCCUAAGGCGAGGCAGAAAUGCGUAGCUGAUGGGAAGCAGGUUAAUAUUCCUGCACCAUUGUUGAAUGCGAUGGGGGGACGGAUCGCGGAAGGUUGUCCGGGUGUUGGAAGUCCCGGUCCUUGCAUUGGAGAAGGCGCUUUGGCAAAUCCGGGCGCG